UACGUAGGGUGCAAGCGUUAAUCGGAAUUACUGGGCGUAAAGCGUGCGCAGGCGGUUAUGUAAGACAGAUGUGAAAUGCCCGGGCUUAACCUGGGAACUGCAUUUGUGACUGCAUGGCUAGAGUUUGGCAGAGGGGGGUAGAAUUCCACGUGUGGCAGUGAAAUGCGUAGAUAUGUGGAGGAACACCGAUGGCGAAGGCAGCCCCCUGGGUCAAGACUGACGCUCAUGCACGAAAGCGUGGGGAGCAAACAGG
RNAcentral lists this ribosomal RNA (253 nucleotides) under uncultured bacterium. RNAcentral describes it as "partial 16S ribosomal RNA". It matches the Rfam family "Bacterial small subunit ribosomal RNA", at positions 524 to 776 of the family's 1533-position model. The record is from RNAcentral.